This 2673-nucleotide ribosomal RNA is filed under the name Triticum aestivum (bread wheat). RNAcentral's name for it is "partial small subunit ribosomal RNA". Lineage: Eukaryota; Viridiplantae; Streptophyta; Magnoliopsida; Poales; Poaceae. The record is from RNAcentral.
AUGGCAGAAGAGGAUGAGGAAAAAACCGCAUUUAUCACCCCUUGCGGCACAUACUGUUUUGUACGGAUGCCCUUUGGGUUGAAGAAUGCUGGUUCAACAUUUGCAAGGGUAGUCCAUGUCGCUUUUGAGCCACAGAUACACAGAAAUGUGGAAGCCUACAUGGAUGAUAUAGUGGUCAAGAGCAAGGACAAGGCUACCCUGAUCCAAGAUUUAGAAGAAACUUUUGCAAAUCUGCGCAAGAUCAACCUCAAGCUCAACCCCGAGAAGUGCGUGUUUGGAGUCCCUUCUGGCAAGCUUCUCGGGUUCUUUGUGUCUCAGCGGGGAAUUGAAGCCAACCCCGACAAGAUCAAGGCCAUCGAGCAGAUUGAAGCACCGAAGCAUGUCAAGGAUGUGCGAAGGCUUGCCGGUUGCGUGGCUGCUCUCAGCAGGUUUAUCUCUAAGCCUGCUGAGCGCGCCCUGCCAUUUUUCAAAAUAUUGAAAAAGGCAUGUCCAAUGAAAUGGACUCCGGAAGCGGAGGAUGCGCUGCAGGACUUGAAGAGGUACCUGUCCUCCACUCCAAUACUUGUCGCACCUAAGCAACAAGAGAAGUUGCUGCUAUAUCUGGCAGCAACCAAUCAAGUGGUUAGUGCUGCGUUAGUAGCGGAGAGGGAGGCGGACGAUGAGCCAGCAACCGCGGCAAGUGAAUCCAGCGACAAGCAGGGGGCUUCUCCGACAAGCUCUGGUCCCGACAAAGAUGAAUCUGCACAGACGUGCAAGGAGGUGCAGAAGAAGAUGGUGCAGCGCCCAGUUUACUUUGUCAGCUCCCUUCUCCAGGGGGCUAGGUCGAGGUACUCUGGUGUGCAAAAAUUGCUUUUCGGCCUUCUCAUGACCUCGAGAAAGAUGCGCCAUUACUUCCAGGCACACGAGAUCACAGUUGUCACUCGCUUUCCGCUGAAGAGGAUACUGCAGAAUCCAGAAGCAACAGGCAGGAUUGUCGAGUGGGCAUUGGAACUGUCAAGCUUUGGCCUCAAGUUUGAGAGCACUGCAACGAUCCAAAGCAGGGCAUUGGCAGAGUUCAUAGCAGAGUGGACGCCAACCCCAGACGAAGAAAUUCCAGAGACGAGCAUCCCCAUCAAGGAGACAAGCAAAGAGUGGCUGAUGUACUUUGAUGGUGCCUUCUCGCUGCAAGGCGCCGGUGCUGGUGUGCUGCUUAUCGCACCCACCGGAGAGCACCUCAAGUACGUAGUCCAGAUGCACUUUCCCAAGGAGCAAGCAACGAACAAUACUGCAGAGUAUGAGGGUUUGCUCGCCGGCCUCAGAAUCGCAGCCGACCUUGGGAUCAAGAAACUCAUUGUAAGGGGUGACUCGCAGCUUGUCGUCCGCCAAGUGAACAAGAACUACCAGAGUCCAUUGAUGGAAGCUUAUGUUGAUGAAGUGAGAAAGCUAGAAGAACACUUUGACGGCCUGCAAAUGGAGCAUGUUCCGCGAGCUCAGAAUGACAUUGCUGAUGGCCUGUCAAAGUGCGCUACACUAAAGUUGCCUGUGGAACCAGGGAUCUUUGUGCUCAAGCUGACUCAACCAUCCGUGACACCGUCGACUGGACAGAGCAAGAAGAGGAAGUUGGUUUCUGGUGACUACUUUCCGGCAGAGCUCCCCGAAGCCGCCGCCAAGAAAGUCCCCAAGAUCAACACCAAAGAUGCUGAGGGGCAGUCUGCUCCGGCAAGCCUUAUGGUUUGUUCCGUUGAAGCAGACGCUCCCGACAAGUUUUGCUCCGGCAAGCUUGCCGGGGAAUAUCACGCUCCGGCCGAACCGCAGGUUCUUGCCGUAGAAGCGGAUGUUCCCACAGCAACAGAUAUGCCUUUAGCUCUUGUUGUCGAGCCGCAAGCUCCAACAUGGGCGCAGCAGAUUGUCCUUUUCCUUCAGACAGGAGAGCUUCCCGAAGAGCAAGAAGAAGCGGAAAGAGUAGCCCGGCAGUCAAGUAUGUACAAGUUUGUCGACAACACACUGUACAGAAUAAGACUCAAGGGUGUGAAAUUGAAGUGCAUUCGCCGGGAAGAUGGACAACAGCUGUUGGCAGAGAUACAUGGAGGCAUAUGUGGUCACCACAUUGGCGCAAGAGCACUUGCCGGCAAAGCAUUCCGACAAGGUUUCUUCUGGCCGACAGCCCUCCAGGAUGCAACUGCACAAGUAACCAAGUGUGAAGCGUGCCAGUUCCAUUCCAAACAGAUACACCAGCCAGCUCAAGCUCUCCAGACGAUCCCUUUAUCCUGGCCAUUUUCGGUCUGGGAGAUCGACAUCCUCGGCCCCUUUCCCCGAGCUGUCAGGGGCUUUGAGUUCUUGUACGUCGCCAUCGACAAGUUCACAAAGUGGCCGGAAGUGGAACCAGUGAGGAAGGUGACACACAGUCAGCAGUCAAGUUCUUCAGGUCGAUUGUUUGCCGUUUUGGGAUCCCUAACAGGAUCAUCACCGACAACGGCACGCAAUUUACGAGCCGCACCUUCAUGCAGUACGUCCAAGAUCUUGGCGCCAAGGUCUGCUUCGCUUCUGUUGCUCAUCCGAGAAGCAACGGUCAAGCGGAGAGGGCAAAUGCUGAAGUGCUGCGAGGCCUCAAGACCAGAACUUUCGACAGGCUGCACAAGUGCGGAAGAAACUGGAUCGAGGAGCUGCCGGUGGUUCUUUGGUCGAUCAGGAUGA